This 713-nucleotide ribosomal RNA is filed under the name bacterium. RNAcentral's name for it is "bacterial SSU rRNA". It matches the Rfam family "Bacterial small subunit ribosomal RNA", at positions 56 to 757 of the family's 1533-position model. The record is from RNAcentral.
UGCAAGUCGAACGGCAGCAUGAUCUAGCUUGCUAGAUUGAUGGCGAGUGGCGAACGGGUGAGUAAUACAUCGGAACGUGCCCUGUAGUGGGGGAUAACUAGUCGAAAGAUUAGCUAAUACCGCAUACGACCUGAGGGUGAAAGUGGGGGACCGCAAGGCCUCAUGCUAUAGGAGCGGCCGAUGUCUGAUUAGCUAGUUGGUGAGGUAAAGGCUCACCAAGGCGACGAUCAGUAGCUGGUCUGAGAGGACGAUCAGCCACACUGGGACUGAGACACGGCCCAGACUCCUACGGGAGGCAGCAGUGGGGAAUUUUGGACAAUGGGGGCAACCCUGAUCCAGCAAUGCCGCGUGUGUGAAGAAGGCCUUCGGGUUGUAAAGCACUUUUGUCCGGAAAGAAAUCGCACUUACUAAUAUUAGGUGUGGAUGACGGUACCGGAAGAAUAAGGACCGGCUAACUACGUGCCAGCAGCCGCGGUAAUACGUAGGGUCCAAGCGUUAAUCGGAAUUACUGGGCGUAAAGCGUGCGCAGGCGGUUGUGCAAGACCGAUGUGAAAUCCCCGGGCUUAACCUGGGAAUUGCAUUGGUGACUGCACGGCUAGAGUGUGUCAGAGGGGGGGUAGAAUUCCACGUGUAGCAGUGAAAUGCGUAGAGAUGUGGAGGAAUACCGAUGGCGAAGGCAGCCCCCUGGGGUAACACUGACGCUCAUGCACGAA